RNAcentral lists this ribosomal RNA (385 nucleotides) under uncultured bacterium. RNAcentral describes it as "bacterial SSU rRNA". It matches the Rfam family "Bacterial small subunit ribosomal RNA", at positions 958 to 1342 of the family's 1533-position model. The record is from RNAcentral.
AACGCGAAGAACCUUACCUAGCCUUGACAUUGAUAGAACACACUAGAGAUAGAGUGGUGCCCUUCGGGGAACUUGAAAACAGGUGCUGCACGGCUGUCGUCAGCUCGUGUCGUGAGAUGUUGGGUUAAGUCCCGCAACGAGCGCAACCCUCGUCGUUAGUUGCUAACAGUUCGGCUGAGCACUCUAGCGAGACUGCCUUCGCAAGGAGGAGGAAGGUGAGGACGACGUCAAGUCAUCAUGGCCCUUAUGGCUAGGGCUACACACGUGCUACAAUGGGGCGUACAGAGAGUUGCGAUACCGCGAGGUGGAGCUAAUCUCAUAAAGCGUCUCUCAGUUCGGAUUGAUCUCUGCAACUCGAGAUCAUGAAGCUGGAAUCACUAGUAAU